AUUAAAACAAAACUUCAAACUGCUUUAACAUGGUUCUCUAUAAAACACGUCUCCAGACUACCUGUUGACUAUCUGGACCGGUCUAUUGGAAGGACCUUGAGCUCAGUCCUGAUCUCCAGACUACCUGUUGACUAUCUGGACCGGUCUAUUGGAAGGACAUUGAUCUCAGUCCUGAUCUCCAGACUACCUGUUGACUAUCUGGACCGGUCUAUUGGAAGGACAUUGAUCUCAGUCCUGAUCUCCAGACUACCUGUUGACUAUCUGGACCGGUCUAUUGGAAGGACCUUGAUCUUAGUCCUGAUCUCCAGACUACCUGUUGACUAUCUGGACCGGUCUAUUGGAAGGACCUUGAUCUCAGUCCUGAUCUCCAGACUACCUGUUGACUAUCUGGACCGGUCUAUUGGAAGGACAUUGAUCUCAGUCCUGAUCUCCAGACUACCUGUUGACUAUCUGGACCGGUCUAUUGGAAGGACAUUGAUCUCAGUCCUGAUCUCCAGACUACCUGUUGACUAUCUGGACCGGUCUAUUGGAAGGACAUUGAUCUCAGUCCUGAUCUCCAGACUACCUGUUGACUAUCUGGACCGGUCUAUUGGAAGGACAUUGAUCUCAGUCCUGAUCUCCAGACUACCUGUUGACUAUCUGGACCGGUCUAUUGGAAGGACAUUGAUCUCAGUCCUGAUCUCCAGACUACCUGUUGACUAUCUGGACCGGUCUAUUGGAAGGACAUUGAUCUCAGUCCUGAUCUCCAGACUACCUGUUGACUAUCUGGACCGGUCUAUUGGAAGGACAUUGAUCUCAGUCCUGAUCUCCAGACUACCUGUUGACUAUCUGGACCGGUCUAUUGGAAGGACAUUGAUCUCAGUCCUGAUCUCCAGACUACCUGUUGACUAUCUGGACCGGUCUAUUGGAAGGACAUUGAUCUCAGUCCUGAUCUCCAGACUACCUGUUGACUAUCUGGACCGGUCUAUUGGAAGGACCUUGAUCUCAGUCCUGAUCUCCAGACCCUAA
RNAcentral lists this long non-coding RNA (1008 nucleotides) under Oncorhynchus mykiss (rainbow trout). Its description in RNAcentral is "lncRNA (ENSOMYG00000051118.1)". The record is from RNAcentral. Lineage: Eukaryota; Metazoa; Chordata; Actinopteri; Salmoniformes; Salmonidae.